GACAGAGGUGCCAAGCGUUAGGCGGAAUCACUGGGCUUAAAGCGUGUGUAGGCGGGUCGUUAAGUACCUUGUGAAAUCCCCCGGCUCAACCGGGGAACGGCUGGGUAUACUGGCGAUCUUGAGCAGUCUAGGGGCAGAUGGAACAGACGGUGGAGCGGUGAAAUGCGUAGAUAUCGUCUGGAACGCCAAAGGUGAAAACAGUCUGCUGGGGACUUGCUGACGCUGAGACACGAAAGCCAGGGGAGCGAACGGG
RNAcentral lists this ribosomal RNA (253 nucleotides) under uncultured bacterium. RNAcentral describes it as "partial 16S ribosomal RNA". It matches the Rfam family "Bacterial small subunit ribosomal RNA", at positions 524 to 776 of the family's 1533-position model. The record is from RNAcentral.